AAACCAGCACCUCAAGUGGUCAGGAUGAUUAUUGGGCCUAAAGCAUCCGUAGCCGGCUCUGUAAGUUUUCGGUUAAAUCUGUACGCUUAACGUACAGGCUGCCGGGAAUACUGCAGAGCUAGGGAGUGGGAGAGGUAGACGGCACUCGGGAGGAAGUGGUAAAAUGCUUUGAUCUCUCGAUGACCACCUGUGGCGAAGGCGGUCUACCAGAACACGACCGACGGUGAGGGAUGAAAGCUGGGGGAGCAAACCGGAUUAGAAACCCCAGUAGUCC
This 274-nucleotide ribosomal RNA is filed under the name uncultured bacterium. RNAcentral's name for it is "partial 16S ribosomal RNA". It matches the Rfam family "Archaeal small subunit ribosomal RNA", at positions 473 to 747 of the family's 1478-position model. The record is from RNAcentral.